AGGGCGCUGACGAGUCCCGCCGAGCCCCGCCGCCCGGGUUCAAGGCCGCCUUCACGCCCACGAUUCCUUGUUUUUUGGGCAGAGGUCAAGGCUCAACGGAGAGGGAGCCCGGGACCGAGUUGUGGUGGGAGUUUGCUCCUAACACCCGCGAAAUCCUACCUCAAUUCCUCAGAUGGCCUGAGGGAGAAACCGGAGGGCCCGGGAAUGGCGGGGAGCUCCAGUUCAGAGCCGGAACUCCGGACUUCUGCAAGGCCAGACGUGAGGCGACACUGAAUUGCUCCCGAGACGCGGGAAGGGCGAAGGCAAUCGAAGCGAAGAGCUUUAACUCAUCUUCUCCAGGAUUUGGGGCACGGGAACCUGUCUCCUGACCUUCGUGCCUUACCUCGGAGUGUGCUGCCCAGACGGACUUGUGAAUAGCUGCGUCUGUCCCCAUAGUUAACGGGAGAAGGAAACACCAGGAGAAAAGAAGGAAAAGACAGGAAACGGGAAGAGGAGCAGAGGCGAGGAAGGGGAAGGUCAUUUCCUUGGCAGGGUAGGCCCUCUUUCUUCUAGGUCUUGAGUUCCUGCCAGGCAAGAAAUGCUCUUUCCCCUCUCCUGAUGAACACCAGGUUGGAGGGGGAGGAACUGAAGAUGCGGGAAGACUUGGGGAGUUCGGGCAAAGUAGCACAUUCAAGCAUGAUCUAUUUUUAUUUACGGACAGAAAGAAAUAUUAGUUCUGUUAGGUUCCACCGAGUAAACUAUUUGUUGAGAGAGCAAGAUUUGCCAAUCCUGGGGGUAUUAAGGAAAGAAAAGGUGGUCCCUGACCUAUGGGAUACAUGAUUCUAGUAUGAAUACGUAAUUACAGGAUGAAUAAUGAAGCCCACCGCUUAUGCAGUACUGACUGUGUGCUUUGCCUGUGCUGACACCUAUGUUAACGCAUUUAAUUAUCAACACAAUCUCUGGAGUGUGGGUAGCCUUACCCCAAUUUUACAGGUGAGACCUGCAGCACAGAUUGCUUAUGUGGCUUGCUGUAGGUCAGGCAGCUGUCAAGCAGCAGACUCCAAAAUCUGGGCCCUUAACUGAGCUGCCUCUACCAUGCUGCCUCUAGAAAAUCUAUGGAAGAAGGGUUGUAUUAAAAGGACAGUGUAACGUCUUGAAUUGUAUAGAUUAGAGUUCUUGUUAAGAUGACUAAUGUUAAAAGAGUGCAAGCAGAGGAGGAAUCGAAGUCAGGAGGGCUCACAGAGCUGAGGGGCCUGGGGUGUGAUGUAGACAUGCAUGCAGGGUUUGGGAGUCAGGCUGCCUGGGUUUGGAUCCAGCCUAGAUAAAGUACUCAGCUUUAUUGAGCUACAGAUUCCUCUUCUGUAAAAGAACGUCCACCUCAUAGGUAGCUUAAAAUUAAAUGUGAUAAUGAGUGUCAAGUGCUCUGCACUGUGCUUGAUACGUUUUAUGAAGUCAGUAAAGAUUAACCACUAAUUAAUUCUGAACUUUGCUUGAGAUUGUAGGCUCCUGUGGGAAGGACUCCAUCGCAUUGAUCACUGGGUUUUCCCGUGCCAUCCAUAGAACUUUGUGCUUAAUAAUGACUCAAUAAAUAUGAUUAGAUGGAUGGAUGUAAAAUAUGGACUUGGGAGAAAGAAAAAUUAGAAGAAUAAAAAAUAAAUGGAAUGAAUAAUGAAAUAA
Molecule: long non-coding RNA, 1656 nt
Filed under: Homo sapiens (human)
Lineage: Eukaryota; Metazoa; Chordata; Mammalia; Primates; Hominidae
Description: novel transcript
Source: RNAcentral